AGAGAGAGACAUGCGCGCAUAUCAAUAAGCGGAGGAAAAGAAACUAACAAGGAUUCCCUUAGUAACGGCGAGUGAAGCGGGAAGAGCUCAAAUUUGAAAUCUUCAAGGUUUUACCUUGACGAAUUGUAGUUUAAAGAAGUGUUUUCUGUUGGAGUUUUGGUAAAAGUUCUUUGGAAUAGGACAUCAUAGAGGGUGAGAAUCCCGUAUUUGACCAUUAUUUCCAGCUUUGUGAUACACUUUCAAAGAGUCGGAUUGUUAGGGAAUGCAGUCCAAAAUGGGUGGUAAAUUUCAUCUAAAGCUAAAUAUUGGCGAGAGACCGAUAGCGAACAAGUACCGUGAGGGAAAGAUGAAAAGAACUUUGAAAAGAGAGUUAAACAGUACGUGAAAUUGUCAAAAAGGGAAGCGUUUGACACCAGUGUUGUUUUCUCGAAAAUCAAUUCAUGAUGGCUUGAUGCUAGGUUGUUAUGACUUUAUCAGCAUACUGUCUAGUUUUCUUGUCUUUGUGAAUGCACUUUUCGUUUAACAAGUCAACAUCAAUUUCUUUUGCUGUAAAAGGGUAAGAGGAAGGUGGCUUCAACUUCGGUUGAAGUGUUUAUAGCCUUUUACCUCUGCAGUCGGAGAGAUUGAGGUCUGCAGCGUAGACUCUUCGGGGUUAGAUACAUUUGUGCUAAGUUAUAGCUUUUCAUAGACAACUUGUUGACUAUGUUUAGUCUUGUAGCUUACUCGCUUAUGCUAUUUUACCUACGCUUAGGAUGUUGACAGCAGUAUAGACUGU
Molecule: ribosomal RNA, 775 nt
Filed under: uncultured Neocallimastigales
Lineage: Eukaryota; Fungi; Neocallimastigomycota; Neocallimastigomycetes; Neocallimastigales
Description: partial large subunit ribosomal RNA
Rfam family: Eukaryotic large subunit ribosomal RNA
Source: RNAcentral